ACCUGGCUGGCUCAGUUGGUAGAGCAUGCAACUUUUAAUCUCGGGGUUGUGAGUUCAAGCCCCACGUUGGGUG
Molecule: non-coding RNA, 73 nt
Organism: Ailuropoda melanoleuca (giant panda)
Lineage: Eukaryota; Metazoa; Chordata; Mammalia; Carnivora; Ursidae
Source: Rfam